RNAcentral lists this transfer RNA (71 nucleotides) under Candidatus Falkowbacteria bacterium CG1_02_37_44. RNAcentral's name for it is "tRNA-Ala". It matches the Rfam family "tRNA". Rfam says of the family: Transfer RNA (tRNA) molecules are approximately 80 nucleotides in length. Their secondary structure includes four short double-helical elements and three loops (D, anti-codon, and T loops). The record is from RNAcentral. Lineage: Bacteria; Candidatus Falkowiibacteriota. RNAcentral also lists the same sequence under 4 other names.
GGGCCCAUGGUAUAGUGGUAGAAUGUCGCAUUCGCAUUGCGGAGACGGGAGUUCGAUUCUCCCUGGGUCCA